RNAcentral lists this ribosomal RNA (510 nucleotides) under uncultured bacterium. RNAcentral describes it as "partial 16S ribosomal RNA". It matches the Rfam family "Bacterial small subunit ribosomal RNA", at positions 28 to 507 of the family's 1533-position model. The record is from RNAcentral.
GACGAACGCUGGCGGCGUGCUUAACACAUGCAAGUCGAACGAAGAGCGAUGGACGCUUGCUUCUAUCAAUCUUAGUGGCGAACGGGUGAGUAACGCGUAAUCAACCUGCCCUUCAGAGGGGGACAACAGUUGGAAACGACUGCUAAUACCGCAUACGAUCUAAUCUCGGCAUCGAGGAUAGAUGAAAGGUGGCCUCUACAUGUAAGCUAUCACUGAAGGAGGGGAUUGCGUCUGAUUAGCUAGUUGGAGGGGUAACGGCCCACCAAGGCGAUGAUCAGUAGCCGGUCUGAGAGGAUGAACGGCCACAUUGGGACUGAGACACGGCCCAGACUCCUACGGGAGGCAGCAGUGGGGAAUCUUCCGCAAUGGACGAAAGUCUGACGAAGCAACGCCGCGUGAGUGAUGACGGCCUUCGGGUUGUAAAGCUCUGUUAAUCGGGACGAAAGGCCUUCUUGCGAAUAGUGAGAAGGAUUGACGGUACCAGAAUAGAAAGCCACGGCUAACUACGUG